RNAcentral lists this long non-coding RNA (1273 nucleotides) under Homo sapiens (human). RNAcentral describes it as "novel transcript". Lineage: Eukaryota; Metazoa; Chordata; Mammalia; Primates; Hominidae. The record is from RNAcentral.
GGCAUGACAUCACAAAGCUGUCCUUGUUUGAAGACACUUGGGAAUUUCAGGUGUUGCCGUAAGUCUACUGAGCUCUCUGGGUGUCUAACCUUGCCUUCUUGUCAUCAGCUAUUAAAACUACUAAAACAGAAGAAUGCUUAACCACUACAGCUGUUAAAACAUUAGUACGUGCUUUGCACUUCGGGUUUCAGGAUCGAGAACAUCCUGGAAAUAAGAGCGGAAGCAGAAAAGCCAGCAGAGCAGGCCAUCACAAUAGACGUGGCGUGAGAUGUCAUGGAACUGGAGCAGUUAAACCUCAUUCUCCAGGGUACUGGUGCUACUGCCAAGAGCGGAAAACUUUCAUCUUCCAAAACCUCAAUCAGCCAGUUUCUCAUCUGCAUCCCAUAAAUCAUCAAGAAAGAACAAGCUCAUUAUCUCAGCACCAGGGACAAAAGUCUUUUACAUGACACUGAACUUCUGACUACUGCAAAACAUGGCAGCUUGCCAUCAUAUGUUUAACAGGUGUGUUGGUCCCUUUAACAGACUGGGCCAGAAGUUUGAGGAUAUGGUCUGAAAUUUCAAUUUUGUUACGUGUUGUGACUUGCACUGGGCCCAAAUCCAGAGGUAAUUGGGCCUAGUGGUCUGAAGAGUUACUUGGGUGUUCUGUAAUUUUAGUAGAUUUGGAGAAAGAGAGGUGGGGAUGUCUGUCCCUGAAGAUAUUUUCUCAUAGAAGCAAGGAAUUACAGGAACUUCUCUGUUGUGUUUUGGGUAAGUGUUUCCAUGCUGCUACUCUGAAUAAUAGGGUAGAUAUUUCCAGGUACAGGCUGUUAAAAUUUGCUAUAUUACCUCCAUUCUGUAUGUAGUUCCUUCUCUACAUAACAGUGUUGGUUAGGUAGUGGAACCUUCUAAAUGACGCACUAUGUGAUUCCUGUGUCAUAUAGAAUGUUCUAUGAUUCUUAGCCAGAUAAUCAUAUUCCCAGAAAAGGCCUCUCAACUUUCACCUGCCUUUCUAAGGACUGAAAUACUCUGAGUGUUGCAUAAAGGGUGUUCCAAAUAUGGGCAUUCACCUGUUUCCUGAUUAAAAAAAGAUAAUUUGGUAUGAAUAAAAAAAAAGGGACGCUUUGUAAUGGGUUUGGUAAAUCUUUCCUGUAACAGGUUAGAUAAUAAAUAUUUUAGGCUUUUGGGAUAUGUAAUCUUUAUUUUAACUACUCAAAUGGGCAGCAAAGCAAAAGCAGUAUGUAAAUGAAUGAGUAUUGCUGUGUUCCAAUAAACUUUAUGGACUCUGAAAUUUGAA